Molecule: long non-coding RNA, 302 nt
Filed under: Panax ginseng (ginseng)
Lineage: Eukaryota; Viridiplantae; Streptophyta; Magnoliopsida; Apiales; Araliaceae
Description: long non-coding RNA (PGIN_LNC003464)
Source: RNAcentral
CAGGAAAUGGGAACGUAGUAGGGACUAGUCAAGGAAUGGAGUGACGGUCCGAGAUGGUUGUUUUAGUAGUUCUCAUUAUUUAGUGUGAUAAUAAAUGUAAUGAGGAUUGAAUUUGAGUUUGAAUACUGUCUACUAGACAAUAUUCGUGUAAAAACUCUUAGCUACAUUUUUGUCGUAUUGUAUUAGGAAGUUUGUAUUUGAAUUUUGUACCAUGUAUUUGACGAUUCAGAAUGCGUGAUGUAUACCUAUUUUGAGGGCGUCACAAUUUUCCUAGUGGAGUACCUAUAUAUCCAUUAUGCUAG